AGGAGGCAGCAGUGGGGAAUAUUGGGCAAUGGGCGCAAGCCUGACCCAGCAACGCCGCGUGAGGGAAGAAGGUCUUCGGAUUGUAAACCUCUGUCCUUGGGGACGAAAAAAAUGACGGUACCCAAGGAGGAAGCUCCGGCUAACUACGUGCCAGCAGCCGCGGUAAUACGUAGGGAGCGAGCGUUGUCCGGAAUUACUGGGCGUAAAGGGUGCGUAGGCGGCGCUGUAAGUCAGAUGUGAAAUCCCCGGGCUUAACCCGGGUUCUGCAUUUGAAACUGCAGUGCUUGAGUGCAGGAGAGGAAAGCGGAAUUCCUAGUGUAGCGGUGAAAUGCGUAGAUAUUAGGAAGAACACCAGUGGCGAAGGCGGCUUUCUGGACUGUAACUGACGCUGAGGCACGAAAGCGUGGGGAGCAAACAGGAUUAGAUACCCGCGUAGUCCG
This 440-nucleotide ribosomal RNA is filed under the name uncultured bacterium. Its description in RNAcentral is "bacterial SSU rRNA". It matches the Rfam family "Bacterial small subunit ribosomal RNA", at positions 343 to 797 of the family's 1533-position model. The record is from RNAcentral.